AGACCCGAAACCCGGUGAUCUAGCCAUGGGCAGGUUGAAGGUUGGGUAACACUAACUGGAGGACCGAACCGACUAAUGUUGAAAAAUUAGCGGAUGACCUGUGGCUGGGGGUGAAAGGCCAAUCAAACCGGGAGAUAGCUGGUUCUCCCCGAAAGCUAUUUAGGUAGCGCCUCGUGAAUUCAUCUCCGGGGGUAGAGCACUGUUUCGGCUAGGGGGCCAUCCCGGCUUACCAACCCGAUGCAAACUGCGAAUACCGGAGAAUGUUAUCACGGGAGACACACGGCGGGUGCUAACGUCCGUCGUGAAGAGGGAAACAACCCAGACCGCCAGCUAAGGUCCCAAAGUCAUGGUUAAGUGGGAAACGAUGUGGGAAGGCCCAGACAGCCAGGAUGUUGGCUUAGAAGCAGCCAUCAUUUAAAGAAAGCGUAAUAGCUCACUGGUCGAGUCGGCCUGCGCGGAAGAUGUAACGGGGCUAAACCAUGCACCGAAGCUGCGGCAGCGAACGUAUCACUUAAAGCGAUUCAGCGGGUUACGAUUGACGGAGCGAAGCGACGUCAAAGCGUAUACAAAGUCGAGUCGGUUUAAGGAUACGUUCGUUGGGUAGGGGAGCGUUCUGUAAGCCUGCGAAGGUGGCCUGUGAGGGUUGCUGGAGGUAUCAGAAGUGCGAAUGCUGACAUAAGUAACGAUAAAGCGGGUGAAAAGCCCGCUCGCCGGAAGACCAAGGGUUCCUGUCCAACGUUAAUCGGGGCAGGGUGAGUCGACCCCUAAGGCGAGGCCGAAAGGCGU
RNAcentral lists this ribosomal RNA (786 nucleotides) under Salmonella enterica subsp. enterica. RNAcentral describes it as "partial 23S ribosomal RNA". It matches the Rfam family "Bacterial large subunit ribosomal RNA", at positions 711 to 1412 of the family's 2925-position model. The record is from RNAcentral. Lineage: Bacteria; Pseudomonadati; Pseudomonadota; Gammaproteobacteria; Enterobacterales; Enterobacteriaceae.